RNAcentral lists this ribosomal RNA (460 nucleotides) under uncultured bacterium. RNAcentral's name for it is "partial 16S ribosomal RNA". It matches the Rfam family "Bacterial small subunit ribosomal RNA", at positions 338 to 795 of the family's 1533-position model. The record is from RNAcentral.
CCUACGUGGUGCAGCAGUGAGGAAUAUUGGUCAAUGGGCGAGAGCCUGAACCAGCCAAGUCGCGUGAAGGAUGAAGGAUCUAUGGUUUGUAAACUUCUUUUAUAUGGGAAUAAAGUGAGGAACGUGUUCCUUUUUGUGUGUACCAUAUGAAUAAGCAUCGGCUAACUCCGUGCCAGCAGCCGCGGUAAUACGGAGGAUGCGAGCGUUAUCCGGAUUUAUUGGGAUUAAAGGGUUCGUAGGUGGUUAAUCAAGCCAGAGGUGAAAGUUUGUGGCUCAACCAGACAAUUGCAGUUGCAACUGGUUGGCUUGAGUAUGUUUGAGGUAGGCGGAAUGCGGGGUGUAGCGGUGAAAUGCAUAGAUAUCACGCAGAACUCCGAUUGCGAAGGCAGCUUACUAAACUAUAACUGACGCUGAAGCACGAAAGCGUGGGGAUCAAACAGGAUUAGAUACCCCAGUAGUC